AGGGAAUUUUCCACAAUGGACGAAAGUCUGAUGGAGCAACGCCGCGUGAACGAUGAAGGUCUUCGGAUUGUAAAGUUCUGUUGUUAGGGACGAAACUGUACCGUUCGAACAGGGCGGUACCUUGACGGUACCUAAUUAGAAAGCCACGGCUAACUACGUGCCAGCAGCCGCGGUAAUACGUAGGUGGCAAGCGUUGUCCAGAAUUAUUGGGCGUAAAGCGCGCGCAGGCGGCUAUGUAAGUCUGAUGUUAAAGCCCGAGGCUCAACCUCGGUUCGCAUUGGAAACUGUGUAGCUUGAGUGCAGAAGAGGAAAGCGGUAUUCCACGUGUAGCGGUGAAAUGCGUAGAGAUGUGGAGGAACAUCAGUGGCGAAGGCGGCUUUCUGGUCUGUAACUGACGCUGAGGCGCGAAAGCGUGGGGAGCAAAC
RNAcentral lists this ribosomal RNA (425 nucleotides) under uncultured bacterium. Its description in RNAcentral is "bacterial SSU rRNA". It matches the Rfam family "Bacterial small subunit ribosomal RNA", at positions 356 to 773 of the family's 1533-position model. The record is from RNAcentral.